RNAcentral lists this ribosomal RNA (224 nucleotides) under uncultured Staphylococcus sp. RNAcentral's name for it is "partial 16S ribosomal RNA". It matches the Rfam family "Bacterial small subunit ribosomal RNA", at positions 116 to 334 of the family's 1533-position model. Lineage: Bacteria; Bacillati; Bacillota; Bacilli; Caryophanales; Staphylococcaceae. The record is from RNAcentral.
CGUUGAUAACCUACCUAUAAGACUGGGAUAACUUCGGGAAACCGGAGCUAAUACCGGAUAAUAUAUUGAACCGCAUGGUUCAAUAGUGAAAGACGGUUUUGCUGUCACUUAUAGAUGGAUCCGCGCCGCAUUAGCUAGUUGGUAAGGUAACGGCUUACCAAGGCAACGAUGCGUAGCCGACCUGAGAGGGUGAUCGGCCACACUGGAACUGAGACACGGUCCAG